This 89-nucleotide transfer RNA is filed under the name Clostridia bacterium. RNAcentral's name for it is "tRNA-Ser". It matches the Rfam family "tRNA". From Rfam's summary of the family: Transfer RNA (tRNA) molecules are approximately 80 nucleotides in length. Their secondary structure includes four short double-helical elements and three loops (D, anti-codon, and T loops). The record is from RNAcentral. Lineage: Bacteria; Bacillati; Bacillota; Clostridia. RNAcentral also lists the same sequence under 2 other names.
GGAGAGAUGGCCGAGUGGUUGAAGGCGCUGGUCUUGAAAACCAGUGAUGUCGCAAGGCACCGGGGGUUCGAAUCCCUCUCUCUCCGCCA